RNAcentral lists this ribosomal RNA (254 nucleotides) under uncultured bacterium. RNAcentral's name for it is "partial 16S ribosomal RNA". It matches the Rfam family "Bacterial small subunit ribosomal RNA", at positions 524 to 776 of the family's 1533-position model. The record is from RNAcentral.
UACGUAGGGGGGCAAGCGUUGUCCGGAAUUAUUGGGCGUAAAGAGCGUGUAGGCGGUCCGGUAAGUCCGCUGUGAAAGUCCAGGGCUCAACCCUGGAAUGCCGGUGGAUACUGCCGGGCUAGAGUCCGGAAGAGGCGAGUGGAAUUCCUGGUGUAGCGGUGAAAUGCGCAGAUAUCAGGAGGAACACCGAUGGCGAAGGCAGCUCGCUGGGACGGUACUGACGCUGAGACGCGAAAGCGUGGGGAGCAAACAGG